CCCGCGACCCGCGACUGCAGAAAUCUCUGGGCGCGUGACACUCGCGCGUGGGAUCUGCGAGUGGCUGCUCCCCGGCGUGUGACUGGCGCGUGGAGGCGCGUGACCUUAUUGAGGAAAAAUCACCCCCUCUCGAUACGCCAAGUGUGUGGAAACGUUGCGUAAGGGCACGUAGCAUCCAAGUACGUGAGGCGUCGAGUCAAGAGAGGGCGCGUCGAUCGAUGUGGGUUGUCACAGAGGAAGCGUGUCCCGGGGCGUCAGUCUAGUAUAUUGAAUAGCUCACUUUGACCUUAAUGUUUCUUCUCUUGUUUUUACCU
This is a long non-coding RNA of Cucurbita moschata (crookneck pumpkin), 314 nucleotides long. RefSeq lists it as uncharacterized. Lineage: Eukaryota; Viridiplantae; Streptophyta; Magnoliopsida; Cucurbitales; Cucurbitaceae. The record is from RefSeq and is a predicted model, not a curated record. The transcript is spliced from 3 exons.